GUAAAGCGUGUGUAGCCGGCGUGACAAGUUGGGCGUGAAAGCCCCGUGCUCAACGCGGGGAGGCCGCACAAUACUGUCAGGCUAGAGGGCAUCAGAGGGGUGUGGAAUUCCCGGAGUAGCGGUAAAAUGCGCAGAUAUCGGGAGGAACACCGGUGGCGAAAGCGGCACCCUGGGGUGCGCCUGACGCUGAGAGACGACAGCUAGGGGAGCGAACAGGAUUAGAGACCCUGGUAGUCCUAGCCGUAAACGAUGGAUGCUAGGUGUGGGAGUGAAGAACUUCUGUGCCGCAGCGAACGCGAUAAGCAUCCCGCCUGGGGAGUACGGCCGCAAGGUUAAAACUCAAACGAAUUGACGGGGACCCGCACAAGCAGCGGAGCGUGUGGUUUAAUUCGAUGCUACACGAAGAACCUUACCUGGGAUUGACAUAUGGGUGGUAGUGAGCCGAAAGGCAAGCGACCCUUCGGGGAGCCUAUACAGGUGCUGCACGGCUGUCGUCAGCUCGUGCCGUGAGGUGUCGGGUUAAGUCCCGUAACGAGCGCAACCCCUGUCCUUAGUUACAAGUGUCUAAGGGGACUGCCGGCGGGAAGCCGGAGGAAGGUGGGGAUGACGUCAGGUCAGCAUGGCCCUUAUAUCCAGGGCGACACACACGCUACAAUGGUCGGUACAGAGGGCAGCGAAGCCGCGAGGUGGAGCGAAACCCAGAAAGCCGGUCGUAGUUCGGAUUGCAGGCUGCAACUCGCCUGCAUGAAGUUGGAGUUGCUAGUAACCGCAGGUCAGCCAUACUGCGGUGAUACGUUCCCGGGUCUUGUACACACCGCCCGUCACGUCAUGGGAGUCGGUAACGCCUGAAGGCGGUAGUCUGACCGGAAGGAAGACGCUGUCGAGGGUGGGGCUGGCAACUGGGACGAAGUCG
This 913-nucleotide ribosomal RNA is filed under the name uncultured organism. RNAcentral describes it as "bacterial SSU rRNA". It matches the Rfam family "Bacterial small subunit ribosomal RNA", at positions 560 to 1488 of the family's 1533-position model. The record is from RNAcentral.